AUGGCCUGUGCAGUGGUAGCAGCUGUACCGACUGCUGCUGCAGGAUUUGCAAGCUGUUAUGUUUGGCAAGCCACGAAGCACAGAAAGCCUCAAGUAAAACAAGUUUUUCAAAGUCUACCAAAAUAUUUUUCAGAGGUUAUUACGACAGAGGUGGGGUUGAACCCAAAAUGACAAAACAGGAAGCAGCACUAAUACUAGAUGUAAGCCCUAACGCCAAUAAAGGAAACAGUAAGAGGUUCUUAUCAACAUGUUAUGCUCUUAAAUCACCCAGACAAAAGAGGGUCUCUUUAUAUAAUAGCCAAGAUCAAUGAAGCUAAAAAUUUACUGUAAG
RNAcentral lists this long non-coding RNA (331 nucleotides) under Homo sapiens (human). Its description in RNAcentral is "non-protein coding lnc-CEACAM4-2:1". The record is from RNAcentral. Lineage: Eukaryota; Metazoa; Chordata; Mammalia; Primates; Hominidae.